GCCGAUAUAGCUCAGCGGUAGAGCAACUGUCUCGUAAACAGUAGGUCAUCGGUUCAAUUCCGAUUAUCGGCA
Non-coding RNA from Prochlorococcus marinus, 72 nucleotides. The record is from Rfam. NCBI's taxonomy places the organism in Bacteria, Bacillati, Cyanobacteriota, Cyanophyceae, Synechococcales, Prochlorococcaceae.